ACGCUAUCCUCUCUGAUGAUGAAAGUCAAACUUAUUAGAUGUUGUCGACAUGGAAAUCACUUCUAUUGAUUUUGCGAUCCUGAUUUGAACAUGGAAACAAUUUGUAAAUUGUUGAAUGAAUCGAGGUGAUAAAUGUUAUUUACUGAAUUACUAUGUAGUGUGAAUUACUUUCGGCGAUUAAAUUAUAGUAUAUUAGCUGUUUUAUCCCGAAAGUAAGAUAAUGUAUUACUUGUGUGAAGUGAUGACUGAGUAUUAUUGGUAUAGGUGUUGAAAUGAGACAUGUCUAACUUAUUAGACAUGUGAGAAUUAUUCGUUUUCGUAGAUGAAGUGGUGGAUUGGUCAGUCAAGACUUAUCCCAUGUUUUAUUCAAUGAAGGGAUACUAAGCUAAGUGUGUGAAUUUCCGAGUGGCCACGGUUAUUUGCAUUCUAGCAUAGUAUCAAUAUGCCCUUUAUUAUUUUAUACAUUUGGAAACAAUUUUGAUUUUUAAAUGUUUUCUUAGAGAAAGAAUGAGAGUCAGGCUUUUCUGAACUGGUACCUAAUGAAUGGCCUAUCUCACUAUUUCUCAUUCAGGGCAAGAAGUCGGUUUUGACAACGAAAGGGUUUCACAGAGACUUGGUUUUAAAGAAUAAUCUUCAUCGGCUAUAUAAUUGUUUUCUAGUUAUCCAAUUUUUUUUUUUAUGCCGAAAAACUUUCUAUUGAACAAACUUGUUGCUCAAUUUAGCAUCUAUUAUCAAGGUAUAACCAGUCAAUUGCAUCUGCUUAAAAAAAAAAAUUGACUGUAAGACAUGAAGAUCAAGGAUGUUUUCAUGAUGAUGGUCAUUUUCUCUUCUUACGUUAUGUGGUUUGUGUUCAAAAGUAUGGAUGAUGAGGGUUCGUUUGUAUUUUCGUAUACAUUCAUUGUAAUUUAUACUAUUGUUAUAGCUUAUUUCCUUUCUAUCUAUAUUGUAGUCCUCAUGUGAGGUGUUUACACAUCCUCGCCUUUUUAUAUAUGAUAAGGAUUACAAGAAGUCAGGAAUAAGUUUUGUUUUCGGGGUGAAAGUAAGUGUUGUGUAUAAAAUCUUAUGCUGUGAAAUGUUGUUCUGUUUAUUUGUAAUGGUAGUUAUUGUCUCCGAUUAUCAAAUUUUAGUUUGAAAUUUCGAGGACGAAAUUAUUUUAACGGGGGAAGGAUUGUAAUAUCCAACAUUUUCAUAAUACAUUUAUUUAUUAUAAAUCAAAGUUUUAAUACAUAAAAUGUACAACUUUACAAAUUUAAGAAAUAGUAAUGGAAAAAUAGUGUUUAAAAUAUGAUUUUAUGUUUUUAAUGAGAUUAAAGAAAGAGAAACUUGAGUAGUCAAGUAUUGGACCCAAAUGUCAAAUAAUUUUAAUUGGGGAUUUUUAUAAAAUUAAGAAAGUUUGGCUAAAGGGCUUAUUUGAAAAGAAUUUUAGUAUUUUGGGUCCAAGUGUAAUUUUUAAAAAUAAAAAAAAUAAAAUAAAAUAAAAUAAAAUAAAAGGCUUCAGCCUUUCAUUUUACCCGAGCCCCUCUCUCUCUCUCCUCAGAAACCCUCUCUCUCUCUCUCCUCAGAAACUCUCUCUCUCUCUCUCUCUCUCUCUCUCUCUCUCUCCUCUGCGUAUUACUGUUGCCGACGACGCAGGAGUACUUUCCGGCCACCAUUUUUAGCCACGCGCCGGACCGUUGGAUUCAGAGGCCUCCGAACUAUCGACCAACGCGGGAAUCUAGAGCUCACUCGCCGAUUAAACGCCUCAACCACUCGAUUUAAGUUCGGCCACCCCGCGACUUCAAAGUUGCGAUUCGGCCACCUCGGGCAUCCGUUUGCCGAUCCGUCACCACCAUCGUGCUCCUCGUGUUGUGGGCUUCAAAACCCAAUAACUUGUUCCUACAUCUACCAUAGUUGGGUGGUGGGCCCACCACGAGCCACCGCGAUCCACCGUAGAUCGACGGUCGAAACUUAGUGUUCGAGGUUCCGAAGUACGUUUUGAGUCUCAGAAAAUCAUCGUUUGACUUAUUGUGGAACCCGAUCAUUUUGGAUUUGUAUGGAUUUGAUUGAUUGACUCUUGGUGAGGAAUUUUAAAAUAAGCUAAGGACCUAAGGUGUGGCUUUAGCUGUUGAGCAACUUGUGGAGCACGGACUCAGUAGCAAUGCAAUAAUGGUUUUAGAGUUUUCAUAUGGCUGCCUUAAAUUUAAAGUAUUCAUACGUGUAAUAAUUUCUUCUAAUAAGUUUAUAUAAAAGUUUAAAUUUUUCUGUAUUUCUUCGUAUCAUUUUAUUUAAUUCUUUUGGUCAAGUGCCUUACAUACUCGUAAACCCUAGAAUUACGAGUAUGUGGCAGACGUACCCUACCUUAGGGACGUU
Humulus lupulus (European hop) is the source of this 2349-nucleotide long non-coding RNA. RefSeq lists it as uncharacterized. The transcript has 3 exons. Lineage: Eukaryota; Viridiplantae; Streptophyta; Magnoliopsida; Rosales; Cannabaceae. The record is from RefSeq and is a predicted model, not a curated record.